This 420-nucleotide ribosomal RNA is filed under the name uncultured bacterium. Its description in RNAcentral is "bacterial SSU rRNA". It matches the Rfam family "Bacterial small subunit ribosomal RNA", at positions 355 to 775 of the family's 1533-position model. The record is from RNAcentral.
UGGGGAAUCUUGCGCAAUGGCCGAAAGGCUGACGCAGCGACGCCGCGUGUGGGAUGACGCCUUUCGGGGUGUAAACCACUGUUGCCCGGGACGAACUGCCUUUUUCGAGAGGCUUGACGGUACCGGGUGAGGAAGCACCGGCUAACUCCGUGCCAGCAGCCGCGGUAAUACGGAGGGUGCGAGCGUUGUCCGGAAUCACUGGGCGUAAAGGGCGCGUAGGCGGCUGGGGAAGUCCGUGGUGAAAGCUCGUGGCUCAACUACGAGUCGGCCAUGGAUACUCCUGAGCUUGAGUCGACUAGAGGCUAAUGGAAUUCCGGGUGUAGCGGUGGAAUGCGUAGAGAUCCGGAAGAACACCGGUGGCGAAGGCGGUUAGCUGGGGUCGAACUGACGCUGAGGCGCGACAGCGUGGGGAGCAAACAG